This 229-nucleotide unclassified non-coding RNA is filed under the name plant metagenome. RNAcentral describes it as "partial contains small subunit ribosomal RNA, internal transcribed spacer 1, and 5.8S ribosomal RNA". The record is from RNAcentral.
UCUCCGUAGGUGAACCCGCGGAGGGAUCAUUACAGAGUUCAUGCCCUACCGGGUAGAUCUCCCACCCUAUGUUAUUAUUACUUUGUUGCUUUGGCGGGCCGUUAGGCUCCGGCCCGACUACCGGCCCCGGCUGGUAAGCGCCCGCCAGAGGACCCAAAACCCUGAAUAUUAGUGUCGUCUGAGUACUAUAUAAUAGUUAAAACUUUUAACAACGGAUCUCUUGGUUCUG